Molecule: ribosomal RNA, 496 nt
Filed under: uncultured bacterium
Lineage: Bacteria
Description: partial 16S ribosomal RNA
Rfam family: Bacterial small subunit ribosomal RNA
Source: RNAcentral
AUUGAACGCUGGCGGAAUGCUUUACACAUGCAAGUCGAACGGUAGAGGGGGCAACCCCUCGAGAGUGGCGAACGGGUGAGUAAUAUAUCGGAACGUGCCCAGUCGUGGGGGAUAACGUAGCGAAAGUUACGCUAAUACCGCAUACGAUCUAAGGAUGAAAGCGGGGGAUCGCAAGACCUCGCGCGAUUGGAGCGGCCGAUAGCAGAUUAGGUAGUUGGUGGGGUAAAGGAUCACCAAGCCAACGAUCUGUAGCUGGUCUGAGAGGACGACCAGCAACACUGGAACUGAGCAACGGUCCAGACUCCUACGGGAGGCAGCAGUGGGGAAUUUUGGACAAUGGACGCAAGUCUGAUCCAGCCAUUCCGCGUGCAGGAUGAAGGCCCUCGGGUUGUAAACUGCUUUUGUACGGAACGAAAAGGUCUCUCUUAAUACGGGGGGCUCAUGACGGUACCGUAAGAAUAAGCACCGGCUAACUACGUGCCAGCCGCCGCGGUAA